RNAcentral lists this ribosomal RNA (495 nucleotides) under uncultured bacterium. Its description in RNAcentral is "partial 16S ribosomal RNA". It matches the Rfam family "Bacterial small subunit ribosomal RNA", at positions 28 to 507 of the family's 1533-position model. The record is from RNAcentral.
GACGAACGCUGGCGGCGUGCCUAAUACAUGCAAGUAGAACGCUGAAGGAGGAGCUUGCUUCUCUGGAUGAGUUGCGAACGGGUGAGUAACGCGUAGGUAACCUGCCUGGUAGCGGGGGAUAACUAUUGGAAACGAUAGCUAAUACCGCAUAAUAGUAGAUGUUGCAUGACAUUUGCUUAAAAGGUGCAAUUGCAUCACUACCAGACGGACCUGCGUUGUAUUAGCUAGUUGGUGGGGUAACGGCUCACCAAGGCGACGAUACAUAGCCGACCUGAGAGGGUGAUCGGCCACACUGGGACUGAGACACGGCCCAGACUCCUACGGGAGGCAGCAGUAGGGAAUCUUCGGCAAUGGACGGAAGUCUGACCGAGCAACGCCGCGUGAGUGAAGAAGGUUUUCGGAUCGUAAAGCUCUGUUGUAAGAGAAGAACGAGUGUGAGAGUGGAAAGUUCACACUGUGACGGUAUCUUACCAGAAAGAGACGGCUAACUACGUG